UCGAAAUUCUCAUCACUAAUUUUCCAAAAAAUAUAUCGUGAAAAGUCAAAACUCUUUCCACUGAUUUCCGCAUCUAAAAUAGUUUUCAUUAAUCUCAUAGUGGAUGAUAGAGUUUUUUCUUUCAAGUGUUGUUCCCUCGUCUCGUGAUUGUCGAAUCCUAUGGUUUCAUUAUUUAUCUUUUCUCUCUCAACAUAAGAUCCCUGGUUCAAUACAAAACCAUCAUUCUCAUCGCAACUAGACUAACGAUUAAACCAACUUGUUUCUUUUGCUGAUAUCAAAGUCCCAAGAACAACAGAUAACUCUUCGAUUUCAACACUUUUCUUCUUCUCUUCAUCAUUCUCGUUACAGUCUCGAGUAUCAACUUCAUCAGUUUUCGGAGAUCAAAUUGAUCGUUCUAUAUGUUACCCUGUUCAUGGAUUGUUCAGGGUCUUAUGUAUGCAUUUGUUUGUGGAAUUAGUCUUGGAUUUUAUAUUUGGGUUUGCUUUGAACCGAGAGAAAAAUCAGCAGGAAUGAUCCCAAAUUGCAGGUCACGGAAGCUAUAAAGGGAACCAAAUCUACAUGACGAACUUACCUUCUUAAGCACGAAUAUGGCACAAGAAGUGUUUGAUGAAAGUCCUAAGAGAAACAGAGCAGGAUUUUGUGGCUUGGGAAUGAAUUUCUGGUGUGGAUUUAGCAUAGAUUUGUGUCCUGGGAAUGGAUUUCUGGUGUGGAUUUAGCGCAGAAUAGGUUUAAUUUGAAGCGUCAAGUGUAUCAUAAAAGUCUGAGAUUGUGUAAAUUUAUUAUAUCUCGUCUUAUUUCUAACGUAAAAGUUGUAAUCAAUAUACAUAGUAACAAACUUAUAUUUAUGGAAUUUCAAUAUUCCUUG
Molecule: long non-coding RNA, 865 nt
Organism: Papaver somniferum (opium poppy)
Lineage: Eukaryota; Viridiplantae; Streptophyta; Magnoliopsida; Ranunculales; Papaveraceae
Exons: 4
Source: RefSeq, a predicted model, not a curated record